CAGUCGCCACGGUAAUACGCAGGUGGCAAGCGUUGUCCGGAAUUAUUGGGCGUAAAGGGCUCGCAGGCGGUUUCUUAAGUCUGAUGUGAAAGCCCCCGGCUCAACCGGGGAGGGUCAUUGGAAACUGGGAAACUUGAGUGCAGAAGAGGAGAGUGGAAUUCCACGUGUAGCGGUGAAAUGCGUAGAGAUGUGGAGGAACACCAGUGGCGAAGGCGACUCUCUGGUCUGUAACUGACGCUGAGGAGCGAAAGCGUGGGGAGCGAACAGGAUUAGAUACCCGAGUAGUCCCUGUCUCUUAUAC
RNAcentral lists this ribosomal RNA (301 nucleotides) under uncultured bacterium. Its description in RNAcentral is "partial 16S ribosomal RNA". It matches the Rfam family "Bacterial small subunit ribosomal RNA", at positions 509 to 807 of the family's 1533-position model. The record is from RNAcentral.